CCCUUAGAUGUCCUGGGCCGCACGCGCGCUACACUGAUGCAUUCAACGAGCCUAUCCUUGCCCGACAGGUCCGGGUAAUCUUUGAAUCUGCAUCGUGACGGGGAUAGAUUAUUGCAAUUAUUAAUCUUCAACGAGGAAUGCCUAGUAGGCGCAAGUCAUCAGCUUGCGUCGAUUACGUCCCUGCCCUUUGUACACACCGCCCGUCGCUCCUACCGAUUGGGUGUGCUGGUGAAAUGUUCGGAUCGGCCGUUUGUCGCGGUUUCCGCGUCAUGUGGCUGAGAAGUUCAUUAAACCCUCCCACCUAGAGGAAGGAGAAGUCGUAACA
RNAcentral lists this ribosomal RNA (325 nucleotides) under uncultured eukaryote. Its description in RNAcentral is "partial 18S ribosomal RNA". It matches the Rfam family "Eukaryotic small subunit ribosomal RNA", at positions 1470 to 1796 of the family's 1831-position model. The record is from RNAcentral.